This 497-nucleotide ribosomal RNA is filed under the name uncultured bacterium. RNAcentral describes it as "partial 16S ribosomal RNA". It matches the Rfam family "Bacterial small subunit ribosomal RNA", at positions 28 to 507 of the family's 1533-position model. The record is from RNAcentral.
GAUGAACGCUGGCGGCGUGCCUAAUACAUGCAAGUCGAGCGAACAGACGAGGAGCUUGCUCCUCUGACGUUAGCGGCGGACGGGUGAGUAACACGUGGAUAACCUACCUAUAAGACUGGGAUAACUUCGGGAAAGCGGAGCUAAUACCGGAUAAUAUAUUGAACCGCAGGGUUCAAUAGUGAAAGACGGUUUUGCUGUCACUUAUAGAUGGAUCCGCGCCGCAUGAGCUAGUUGGUAAGGUAACGGCGUACCAAGGCGACGAUGCGUAGCCGACCUGAGAGACUGGUCGGCCACACUGGAACGGAGACACGGACCAGACUCCUACGGGAGGCAGCAGUCGGGAAUCUUCCGCAACGGGCGAAAGCCUUACGGAGCAACGCCGCGUCAGUGACGAAGGUCUUCGGAUCGUAAAACUCUGUUAUUAGGUAAGAACAACUGUGUACGUAACUAUGCACGUCUUGACGGUACCUAAACAGAAAGCCACGGCUAACUACGUG